ACUUUACAUAUUAGUUAACUAAAAUUUUAAUUAUUUGUAAAAGAUUUUUUUUAAUUUGUGUUUCAUUGGGGAGAUGAAAGUAUAAAAUUAGCUGCUUAAUUUUUAAUACAAAAAUAUUUGAAACUUAAUUGAUCCUUGCCAGAGAUAAAAGAAAAGUU
RNAcentral lists this ribosomal RNA (158 nucleotides) under Eiconaxius farreae. RNAcentral's name for it is "partial 16S ribosomal RNA". The record is from RNAcentral. Lineage: Eukaryota; Metazoa; Arthropoda; Malacostraca; Decapoda; Axiidae.